Molecule: ribosomal RNA, 726 nt
Filed under: Bacillus cereus
Lineage: Bacteria; Bacillati; Bacillota; Bacilli; Caryophanales; Bacillaceae
Description: bacterial SSU rRNA
Rfam family: Bacterial small subunit ribosomal RNA
Source: RNAcentral
UGAAGGCUUUCGGGUCGAAACUCUGUUGUUAGGGAAGAACAAGUGCUAGUUGAAUAAGCUGGCACCUUGACGGUACCUAACCAGAAAGCCACGGCUAACUACGUGCCAGCAGCCGCGGUAAUACGUAUGGCAAGCGUUAUCCGGAAUUAUUGGGCAAAGCGCGCGCAGGUGGUUUCUUAAGUCUGAUGUGAAAGCCCACGGCUCAACCGUGGAGGGUCAUUGGAAACUGGGAGACUUGAGUGCAGAAGAGGAAAGUGGAACCAUGUGUAGCGGUGAAAUGCGUACGAUAUAGGAACACCAGUGGCGAAAGCGACUUUCUGGUCUGUAACUGACACUGAGGCGCGAAAGCGUGGGGAGCAAACAGGAUUAGAUACCCUGGUAGUCCACGCCGUAAACGAUGUGCUAAGUGUUAGAGGGUUUCCCCCUUUAGUGCUGAAGUUAACGCAUAAAGCACUCCGCCUGGGGAGUACGGCCGCAAGGCUGAAACUCAAAGGAAUUGACGGGGGCCCGCACAAGCGGUGGAGCAUGUGGUUUUUCGAAGCAACGCGGAGAACCUUACCGUCUUGACAUCCUCUGACAACCCUAGAGAUAGGGCUUCUCCUUCGGGAGCAGAGUGACAGGUGGUGCAUGGGUGUCGUCAGCUCGUAUCGUGAGAUGUUGGGUUAAGUCCCGCAAAGCGCAACCCUUGAUCUUAGUCCAUCAUUUAGUUGGGCACUCUAAAGUGAC